This 787-nucleotide ribosomal RNA is filed under the name uncultured bacterium. RNAcentral describes it as "bacterial SSU rRNA". It matches the Rfam family "Bacterial small subunit ribosomal RNA", at positions 1 to 826 of the family's 1533-position model. The record is from RNAcentral.
GCUUAGAGUUUGAUCCUGGCUCAGAAUGAACGUUGGCGGCGUGGAUUAGGCAUGCAAGUCGUGCGAGAAGCUCCCUUCGGGGAGUGGACAGCGGCGAAAGGGAGAGUAAUGCGUGGAUACCUACCCUGGGGUCCGGGAUAGCCGUGGGAAACCGCGGGUAAUACCGGAUAACGUCUCCGGACCAAAGCUCCGGCGCCCCUGGACGGGUUCACGUCCUACUAGCUUGUUGGUGGGGUAACGGCCUACCAAGGCUGCGAUGGGUACCGGGCGUGAGAGCGUGACCCGGCUCACUGGGACUGAGACACUGCCCAGACACCUACGGGUGGCUGCAGUCGAGAAUCUUCGGCAAUGGGCGCAAGCCUGACCGAGCGACGCCGCGUGCGGGAUGAAGGCCUUCGGGUUGUAAACCGCUUUCGGGGAGGAGCAAAUUUUGAGCGAUUCCCUAAAGAAGGACGGGCUAAGUUCGUGCCAGCAGCCGCGGUAAGACGAACCGUCCAAACGUUAUUCGGAAUCACUGGGCUUAAAGGGUGCGUAGGCGGCCACGUCAGUCGGGUGUGAAAUCCCUCAGCUCAACUGAGGAACUGCGCUCGAUACUGCGUGGCUAGAGGAAGGCAGAGGUGUGCGGAACUUGCAGUGGAGCGGUGAAAUGCGUUGAUAUUGCAAGGAACACCAGUGGCGAAAGCGGCGCACUGGGCCUUUUCUGACGCUGAGGCACGAAAGCUAGGGGAGCGAACGGGAUUAGAUACCCCGGUAGUCCUAGCUGUAAACGUUGAGCACUAGAUCGGAG